GAUGAACGCUGGCGGCGUGCCUAAUAUAUGCAAGUCGAGCGAACGGACGAGAAGCUUGCUUCUCUGAUGUUAGCGGCGGACGGGUGAGUAACACGUGGAUAACCUACCUAUAAGACUGGGAUAACUCCGGGAAACCGGAGCUAAUACCGGAUAAUAUUUUGAACCGCAUGGUUCAAAAGUGAAAGACGGUCUUGCUGUCACUUAUAGAUGGAUCCGCGCUGCAUUAGCUAGUUGGUAAGGUAACGGCUUACCAAGGCAACGAUGCAUAGCCGACCUGAGAGGGUGAUCGGCCACACUGGAACUGAGACACGGUCCAGACUCCUACGGGAGGCAGCAGUAGGGAAUCUUCCGCAAUGGGCGAAAGCCUGACGGAGCAACGCCGCGUGAGUGAUGAAGGUCUUCGGAUCGUAAAACUCUGUUAUUAGGGAAGAACAUAUGUGUAAGUAACUGUGCACAUCUUGACGGUACCUAAUCAGAAAGCCACGGCUAACUACGUG
Molecule: ribosomal RNA, 497 nt
Filed under: uncultured bacterium
Lineage: Bacteria
Description: partial 16S ribosomal RNA
Rfam family: Bacterial small subunit ribosomal RNA
Source: RNAcentral